GCAUUGGUGGUUCACUGGUAGAAUUCUUGCCCUCCAUACCGGAGACCUGGGUUAGAUUCCCAGCCAGUGCA
Molecule: transfer RNA, 71 nt
Filed under: Loxodonta africana (African savanna elephant)
Lineage: Eukaryota; Metazoa; Chordata; Mammalia; Proboscidea; Elephantidae
Rfam family: tRNA
About the family: Transfer RNA (tRNA) molecules are approximately 80 nucleotides in length.
Source: Rfam by way of RNAcentral